Molecule: long non-coding RNA, 1205 nt
Organism: Humulus lupulus (European hop)
Lineage: Eukaryota; Viridiplantae; Streptophyta; Magnoliopsida; Rosales; Cannabaceae
Exons: 3
Source: RefSeq, a predicted model, not a curated record
ACUAAUGAAUAUGCAACUAUAACAUUCAUGGGCAUUUCAUUAGUAUAAUACCCAUAGAAUGAUGCUAAAUACAAGCAAACAAUCACUAAAGUUAUGAAAAAUAAAGAGAAAUUCAUGUUUUGAUGAUGAAUUUUUAUAGAAGGUUAAGAGGUGAAGAAGUUGUGCAAAUAAAUGGUUGAAGGAACAAGUAUUUAUAGGACAAAAACUAGCCGUUUAUGACCGUUGGUGAAUAGUGUUCAUGACCGUUGGGGGUGUAGUUGUUUUCUAUUAUGGGAUUUUAACAAUUCUAAGUUGUUGAAGUAACCAACAGGUGGGAAUAAUUAAUUUAUGGGUGUUAGAGAAACUUUUUCAGAAAAGUUUGUGAGUCAAAAAUGCUGGACUAAGUAAUAUAAGAAGAUUGGGAAAUUUUCAUUUUUUUACUAUUCACCGGGUACUAUUCAUAGUGGGUCCCACAGUGGGGUCCGCAAGGGUCCCACAGUAGGGUCCACAUGGGUCCCACAGCGGGGUCCACCCCAUGGGUUCCACAUGUUGAUGCAGUAGUGACACAUUGAUGACUUAAGCAAAUUACUAUGCUUGAUAUUUUGAAUAUGUUAUUAUUCCACUAUGCUUAUUAUUUUUAAUAUUUUAUUAGAAUAGUAUCCCAAGUUUUUCCUAUAAAUAGCCCUUCCAAAACUCAUCUUGAAAUCACAAAAAACCUCAUUUUCCUUUCUCUUACUAUACCCAAAAAUCUUCUUAACAUCCUUCUAAAGUUCUAAACCUCGGAGAUCUAGGCGAAGUUCUGUCCAUAACGCUAGCCUACGAAAACCUUUUAGGAAGCUAACAAUUUCGGUUGUUUUAUCAAGACGCAAGGUAAGAGGCCCCAAAUAUAAAUCGUUGAUGAGUAUACGUGGAGCCAACAUGACUGUACAUAUGGGGCUGACCUGAAGGGAGUGGAGUUCUGCUAUGCUAUUUUAUAAAUAAACAAGAAACUUGGUUUUAUUAUAUUUCAUAAAAAGUAUUUCAUGAACUUUGUAAUUUACAUAAAGCUUUUCAAUUUAUCAGUUGGAUACAUUUUCAUUUCUACGUUAAUGUGCAGUAACGCCACGAAAAUGAUUUAUAAAAGUAUUAAGAUUUGUAUGUAAGAUAAAGUUUUUAUUUAGUUGUGAGUAUUGUGUGGUUAAGGUUAUAAACAUUAUUUAUGUAUUGUUUAAUAAAGUUUUUGUAAA